Molecule: ribosomal RNA, 460 nt
Filed under: uncultured bacterium
Lineage: Bacteria
Description: partial 16S ribosomal RNA
Rfam family: Bacterial small subunit ribosomal RNA
Source: RNAcentral
CCUACGGGAGGCAGCAGUGAGGAAUAUUGGUCAAUGGACGGAAGUCUGAACCAGCCAUGCCGCGUGCAGGAAGACGGCUCUAUGAGUUGUAAACUGCUUUUGUACAAGGGUAAACCUGAACACGUGUAUUUAUCUGAAUGUACUUUACGAAUAAGGAUCGGCUAACUCCGUGCCAGCAGCCGCGGUAAUACGGAGGAUCCAAGCGUUAUCCGGAUUUAUUGGGUUUAAAGGGUGCGUAGACGGGUUGUUAAGUUAGAGGUGAAAUGUUGGAGCUCAACCGGAGAAUUGCAUUUAAUACUGGUGAUCUAGAGUGUAGAUGCGGUAGGCGGAAUGUAGGGUGUAGCGGUGAAAUGCUUAGAGAUCAUACAGAACACCGAUUGCGAAGGCAGCGUACCAAUCUAUAUCUGACAUUGAGGCACGAAAGCGUGGGGAUCAAACAGGAUUAGAUACCCGGGUAGUC